UGCUCCCUCUCUCACAUCCCUUGCAUGGUGGAGGGUGAGCUUUCUGAAAACCCCUCCCACAUGCAGGGUUUGCAGGAUGGCGAGCC
This is a microRNA precursor of Gorilla gorilla gorilla (western lowland gorilla), 86 nucleotides long. Ensembl annotates it as microRNA 188. Its record names the gene MIR188. The record is from Ensembl. Lineage: Eukaryota; Metazoa; Chordata; Mammalia; Primates; Hominidae.